UUCUAUCAAUCCAAUAGAAAUAUGUAAUACAAAUUGCCUUCUCUUACCUCGCAGUGAGAUCCAAGAGAAAAUCAGGAGAUCCAAUAGUAAUAUUUUCCUAGAAUUUAUCUACUGACACUAGAAUAUUAAAAAUUAUUUGUUAUUUACUGUUUGCGUUUGCAAAUCGGGAUUCUCCGAUCAAAUGUGAUAUUAAAUUCAUGACUGAUAGCAGACUGGCUCCAUAACAGAGUCAACAGCAGGUGCUAAUCCAUGGCGACCUGACUGCCGCUUGGAGCCAAGAUUUAGUUAAACGGGAGAAGACCCAUGAAACCGACCGUUGUUUCAUGACACAAUAACCUGUUUAUAUUUCACUAUUUUGUCUUAUUUUUGCCCCUUCCAAUUUUUUGUAGCUUUACUUAAUGCUCUUGUUCAGUUAUUUUAUUGUGCUUUAAAAAGAAAAUGUAACUUGCAUUGUAGAAUUUUUGGGAGCUCAACAGUUGACGCGCAUCCAGUCAGACACGGGUGUUUGUUGUUUACAAUAGCAAUCCACCUUUUGCAUGGUGCCGAAAGUAAGCUACUUUCACGAUUGGAGGAAGCCUUUGCUUCUCCAUGGUUUCCUUCAAAUUUAAAGCAGUUAAUUUGUGACCAUUUUGUCUUAUCAUUCACCCUCUUCAGUAUAGACAGCACUAGCUUGCUAAUCUGAAUUCUUUUGUAUUCCUCCAAUUAUGUAUGUCUACUCUUUUAUUGGCUAAUUGUUUUGUAUUAUUGGUAUUGGAUGACUGAUCUGUGUAUUUAUAGCCUAGAGAAACUAGCUCAAAGAAGAUAGCUUGAAAUAUUUUCGAAUUUCAUGUUAGGAAUUAUACAAAUUUUCGCAACAGUUUCUGUCAACCUACUUACUUCCCUGUUUUGGUACUUGUUGAUAUUAUUCCUUAUUUUUGUAUCAUUCAUGUGCUUAUCUAGACCCCCGUUUGAUUUCUUGUAUUAUUCCUCAAGUUUGAGUUGCUUGUAUUGCCGAUUGCUGGAUGCUUGUCAUUACUUAUUUGCACCAAUUCUGACUCUGACUUCUGGAAGGGAAGCUCCUUCACUGACAACCGAGGUUUAGUCACAAAUAUAUUUAUUUGCCAUACCCAAUUGUAUCCAUUUUAAUGAGGAUUUUGUGAGGAAAAUUAGUUCCUCACUUCAAAUAAUAUUUUGUUGUGUAAUUAGGUUAUCAUCCGUGGGCACAAGUAGGCGCAGAUAUAACCUGUAUUUCAGAAAUCUGAAAUCUCUCUUCUGAAUCGUCUAUUUGCAGUAAUAUAUACAUAAUAUUUGCUUUUUCAAAAAUAAACUCUAUUAUGCCUCGUCUCCAGAGUUACAUUAAUAUUUAUAUAUUUUAUUUGUGUAGGAUCAAAUUCAAGUGUUUCUUCCACUGGCACAUUUAUUGUUGAAGAAGAAGAAUGAUCAUUCAUGAGUUGAUAGAACUAAGUUUUAUGGUUGUUUUUAGUUAAUAAAAUGUUUCAAGUUGGAUGUUUAUUUAUCAAAUUAUAUUAGUGUGUUACUGUGUUUAGUUUUUUUGGAUAAUUUACUGUAUUUAGUUUUAUAAACGGAUAUUUUAAUGGAUUCAAAUAUUUAACAGAUAGUGAUUAUUUAAGUGGAUACAGAUUCGGAUAAUGAAGUUGAAUUUAAACUGAUAAUUAAACAAAUUCGGAUAUCAUGAAAAAUAAAUGAAUUUAAAUAUGAACAUUUUAAAAUUAGUGAAUUUCCACUCUGUGGCCAUUCCUACUUCACUAUACCUUGCUGAGCUGUUCUAGGUAAUUCCAGUUUUGUCUUUUGUUGUCAUCUUAAUGGUUACCUACAACUUUUACAAUAGGAAUUUUUUUACUGCAACUUCUGAUUGAUCUGAGCUUACCCCUUUUACAUUGGCUCUAUUUUUUACGGUAAGAUCCAUGCUGUUAGAAAUAAAUCUUUGCUGUUGGUGAACGAAAAAAAUAUCUAUUUUGUUCUCAAGGAAAGGUGAAAAUUUGGGUUGUUCUUCUUUUUUAGCCUGCCUGGGUUGACAGUGCUUGACCACUCUCUUUAAAAAACAUUCCACUCUUAACAUCUGAUGAUCUACAAUGUUUUCACUACCGUUGCAGAUUUUUCUUGCAGAUGCCAUAUGCUACUUCAAAUCCUGUGCCCUGAGCUGAGAUGAACCCACUUCAUAAGUUCCUUUUCAUAUGGGUUGUUAUCAUUUUUCUUUCUUGGACAUGCACCGCUCAAUGUGAUGUAAAAUAACUUAUCAAGUAGAUUUUCACAUAUCAAAAGCCAACUAUAAGAAUGGAUAUGUUCAAAAUUUAAAUGACAGCUCUUCAUGUCUUUUCAUCUAGAUUGUAGGAUAAGGCCUAAAGAAGCCUUUUGUUUAAAUUGAUGCCAUAAAGUUUUCUGGUAUUCUUGUUGUUUACGGAAGGGUGGUCAGGAGUGGGAUUUGUGAACAUAUACCUUUUUUAAGAAUUUCUAAAAAUAAAAUUGAGUGGUAUGAGUUCACAAUAAAUGCUAUUUUAAGAACCAAUCCUAUCAUUGGCUGAUAAACCUUCAACAAUCACUAGUAUCCCUUGCAACUGAAGAGAAGUGAAAACUUAAUUUCAACAUAAUGCUCGACUUCUUAGCAGAGAUAUUUGGCUGUGCAUGUAAGUGAGAAUUACAUAGAAUAAGAGUAAACACUGUAAUUUUUGUUUGAUUUGGAGAUAAUUCUUUUGUGUUUUCCCCCGGUUUGGUGUCUGAUGGAGUAAUUAAUUUAUCCAUGCCUUACAGGAUGCGAUGCGUUAAAGUCUUCACCUUGGCUACCAUUGCUUGAGAUGUUACUUGAAUAAUUGGUGGAUGCAAUUCAAUCUUGAUGAGGUCAGAUAACUACUGAUGGCAGAUGUUGUCGGACAGGUGGUAGCAUAUUAUGGAAUAUCAUAAAAGCGCGAGAACCAGCUGCUGCCAAAGACUUUGAGAAGCAAUUUAAGCCACAAAAUAUCAUACAGGCACCAGCAGCACAGAACAAAGAGAGUUCUUCUCAAGAAAUUGUCUGUACACCAUCUAAUGGAACUUCAGCAAGUGUUCCCGAUGACUCUCAACUAAUUCCUCAAAGCCCGCACGAACGGUUCCCUUUCGAUCUAAGCUUUGAAAUUAUAGACAAAAUCAUCUAAGCAGGUGUACUUAGAAAAGGAAGUCUCAAGUUGGAAUCUUUUCCCAACUUAACCAAUGAUGGCAAUAGUAAGAAGUGAAAAGAAAUGGAUACUGACCACUCUCAAAAUCCGGUUCUGUGAAAGAGAUUUCUUGGCUUCAUGAGCUGCUAAGCCGAAUAAAUUGGUGAGAUCGCCUGACCAGAAGAGACAAUGGUAGCCGAGAGUGCCCGAAGCGCAGCAAUGGUCGACUCAACACUCUGCUGAACUCUUUUCUAAGCUAUAAAACCACAACAAAUGAAAAUGAAAAUGAAAUAGAAAAGGAGAAAGAAAAAGUACCCAAGAGGCGGAUUUGGAGAGAGUGGCGAAAGCAAAGCGGUGGUUGGGGUUGAUAGAGAGCUUGGAGUUGACGAAGAGAAAGAUCAAGCGAAAAUGGCGUGUACGCAUGACCACAGCUGCGAAGAUCACGAUUGUUCUUAUAAUUCAUCUCUUUACAAGCACAUCAAGGUCCUUUCUCUCAUUAUUUUUAGCCGGAAUAAUUUGAAGAUUCAACCGACUCAUUACUAAUUUUUGUCGUCACUAAUUGAUUUUUGAAGUAAAAUUCGAUUUAUUUUUCCACUAUCCUAUUUAAAGGAAUUUACGUGUUGUUUUUUUCCCCCCUUAAAAGUUUGUUUAUUGUUUAGAUAAUUGCUUUGAAUGAGGCUAAUCCAGGAACUACUUUAUUUUUGUUAAUUCCUAUUUGCAAUUUUUGACAUUUUGGAGUGGGGUUUAGGCUCCGCUUGUUGUACGCAAGUAAUGAAUCUUACGUGAAAUGCAAUUUUGAUACUUAAUUGUCGCUCAUUAAUAUGAGCUGAUUUAAUGCUUGUUUUGAGUGAUAUAGUUUUGUCAAUUCAAUCUUUUAUCUUGAUCCAAUGGGAU
Durio zibethinus is the source of this 4022-nucleotide non-coding RNA. The record is from RefSeq and is a predicted model, not a curated record. Lineage: Eukaryota; Viridiplantae; Streptophyta; Magnoliopsida; Malvales; Malvaceae.